RNAcentral lists this long non-coding RNA (914 nucleotides) under Haliotis rufescens (red abalone). RNAcentral's name for it is "uncharacterized LOC125372120". Lineage: Eukaryota; Metazoa; Mollusca; Gastropoda; Lepetellida; Haliotidae. The record is from RNAcentral.
UUUUUCAUGUGUCAUUCGGUAAAAAUGCAAAAACCUGUAUCAACAACAUAGAAGGAAUGUACAGAAGUCAUGUUUGAUUGAGAAAAGUUACGACAAGUAGGUAAACUUUGAAAAAUACGAUUGCUGUCAGUGUCGGAAAGAAUGACCCGACUUGACCAAGAUAUGAGACAGCCGAAACCAGGAAUGACAAGAGAACCGGCGUUACAGUUUAAUCCGGACAACAAGUUUAAUGAACAUCGUUUGUGAUUUGAGACAAGUGUGACUGAUGGGAAACAUGUGCAUGUGGGAUUCUAGGAGGACUUGUUUGAGUCAAACGCGCUUGUGGAGUGGACACAGUCAGAUAACGGGAGUUUGUUGAUAUUUUGAUGUGAUUCAUAAUAUGGUCGAAUACCUGUUGAUAGACUAACACGGUAUCUGGAGACUUGGUGACAAGCUGUCCGCAUUCACGGAGCUCAUUUAGUUCAAUGUUGGACACAGGAUCACCUCGCUGGGUUAUCGAUGUCAUCAUCGUUCACAAAGGCAAACCUGUCUAUACAAAGUCCGGUUUUGGGGAUUCGUGUGGUCGAAAGAUCCGCCAAACAGCAAGUCCUCUAACACAGACGCAAAUCUGGACUUGGUGGUGUUGAGUUUUAGCGCACUAGAAACAGUUUCUGGCAACAUCACAAUCUGAAACUUGGAACUUCAAUCUGGCCAUAUGCAGUUUUGACAACAAAGACAUUAAAUGUGUUCAGAGGUUGAAUUAUGCGAAUAACUCUUCCUGUCAGAUCUCCGUCUACUUUAACGAGGUCAUUUAGUUUGACAGGUGUCAAAUGGUCAGCCAUGUUUGUUUACAAACAAUGCAGACGUAGUUUUGUUUUUUGUAAUUACGCUUAUUGUAAACUAAAACUCGUGCGAAAUAAAUGCUUUAUUCAUUA